RNAcentral lists this long non-coding RNA (1238 nucleotides) under Phoenix dactylifera (date palm). RNAcentral's name for it is "long non-coding RNA (PDAC_LNC015337)". Lineage: Eukaryota; Viridiplantae; Streptophyta; Magnoliopsida; Arecales; Arecaceae. The record is from RNAcentral.
AAUUCUAACCAUUUGUGGAACUUCUAAUAAAUUCUAACCAUCUUUAUGUUUCAUUGGCCAGUAAAAGCUAUAAACCAAUGAAAUUUAUCUUCUUAGAAACCUCAUCCUCCAUUGUCUAGGGGCAAGGGACUAAUUUUUCUCUCCCUAAAACAGUUUCCGCGUAACUAGUUAUGUAAAGCUCUGUUUAUAAAAGCAGGAAAGAGACAAACACUAAAAAAAAUUCUGGUUAAGUUCAUUCUCAAAACUGGCCUUACUAAGAAUCACAAUAAAGUGUUUCUGAUAUGACUGAGAAUCAUUUUUCUUAGUUCCUGAUUUUAUAUGUUUGAUUUAGAUGUUUACCACAUCUAGUAUUACAUCUAGCAUUUGAUUGGUGUCAUGUGAGUCGAACUAUUUCUUCUUAAACAUUUUCAUUACGCAUUACUAUUGCCAGGAUGUUGUUCAGCAGAAAUAUGACAAGAUUUCUACAGUAUCAGAAAACAUUUGCAUGGAUUUGUCCCUCUAUAUGAGAAAAAGGAUACACAUAGGCCAACCAAAUAAAAAUUCACCAAACAAAAUCCUACAAUUUGGUGGUGUUACCUAGAUACUUGCCAUGUCUGUUAUUGUCCAGGUGUCUUCACGUGCCCUAAAUUGACCUACAGUGACAUUGACACUUCAACCAUAUAUGACUUAACACAAUUUAGUGGAAUUAAUUGUUCAUGAAUUUAAUGCUACAAUAGAUAAUCAAGAUUUUACAUCUUAAAAGAAUGGACACAUAAGUCAAAUUAUGAUGCAUAGGAUAUGGAAAAAAAUGAUUCUAAUAAAUUAGACUAGUUAUCAAGUUAUUAAAAUUAAAUAAACCAGAAGAAGUAUCAAAGAAUGAUUCUAUAUAUAAAACAAGAUAUGCCACAUUAAAAUCAUACAAGAAGAUCCUCUCUACUUUAUUAGUGAUCACAUACUACUAAUAAAAAAAAAAAAAGGCAACGAAGGCCAUAACUUUCAAAUCCACAUACAUGGGUCAUGACCCAAGACCUUACCCAGAAAGGCAAGCCAAAAGUUAUUAUUUGGAACCCUUCGCCCUAUUAAGUACUCAAUAUCUUCCCAUGCAUAAUUGAUGCGGACUUAACACAUGCUCAUAUAGGUCCUCACACACUCCUCUAGUGUAAACCCUGGCAUUCUCACCAAAGAAAGGGUCCUAUCAAAAUCACUAGCUCAUUGUCGUCCUCAAAAAGGCUUGUGCUGCAGUGUCUCCUAGUACACGU